Long non-coding RNA from Fukomys damarensis (Damara mole-rat), 470 nucleotides. RefSeq lists it as uncharacterized. The record is from RefSeq and is a predicted model, not a curated record. The transcript has 3 exons. Lineage: Eukaryota; Metazoa; Chordata; Mammalia; Rodentia; Bathyergidae.
CUGAACUUCCAGGAAUGGAGCCAAAGGAAGCCCCACUUCUGAGUGCCUGCCCUUCUCUGGGCAUCUCAAAUUCUGUCCUUUUUCUUUAAUGUAAGCAAAAGCCCUUAUCUGUCCCUAUUGCUUUUCAAAUUUCCUCACCCUCUCCUCCAUGUCUUACAUGAAAAAGAGACACUGUGAUUUCUUUUCCCUCCUGUCCUUACAGAUUUUCACAAAGAAGAAGACUAAAGAUGCUUCUAGGAUCUUUCCCUUCAUUCCUAAAUAACAAGCUCCAGGGUUGUAAUGGAAGAAGAAACUUGGAUCCCAUCUGCACUUCCCGAACUCCACCUUCUGUGCUACCUGUUACUUCUGAGCAAUUUGUCCCCCAAAUGCACCAUGUCUCAGACUCCUCUGCUUCCUAGCUACCGUGAGUUGAGCAACUUUCCUCUGCCAUGAUGUUUACACCUUGGAGCCAGCCGAUCAUGGACUAAAAC